UGCCCACAUAUUGCUCGGCUGUGCCAUAUUCCGCCGCGUGUUGGACGACACCCUGGAACAGAUUGCGGUCUGAUAAGUUGGGGAAGCCUGGGUUCUCUGGGGAUAUUAGGAAGCCGGUCGAUAUGACAAUGUUCUUGGCUUCUACUGUUUCUUCUUCCUUUGUUUCUACAUCUUGGAUCACCACCUUCCACAGACCAGCAGUCUCAUCCCAAUUGUUUCUCACUACCUUGACUCCACAGAAUAAUGGCAGUUUGAGCGCCUCGACAGCGCUCGAAGUGUAUCUUGUGAAGUAUCGGCCCGGUAGAUAUUCUGGAUAAUCUUCAGGAAUAGGGAAUCCUGGCAAAGCUACCAUGAGCUUGUUAUGAUGAAUGGUCACAUAAUCUUUUCCAUUACUCGACCAGUUACCGCAAGCGACAGGGUAGGUUUCAAAAGCAGCAACAUUCACCCCAAUAGAGUCGAGCAUGAUAGUAUUCGCUAAUCCACUGCAACUGGCCCCAAUUACGACGACAUCCAAGACCCCUUGCAGGUGUGGCAGACCCUGCGCUUGAGCCUUACCUCUUUGAGAGGCUGGAACUGAUGAUGGGGUUUUCCGUGGAAGGGUUUCAAACGGGUGUUCUGUGAGAGAAACAACGUCGGUAGACAGUACCCAGAUCUUCCAUUGGCCACCUUCGGGGAUCAGCUUGACAAGACCAAUAUUGUUGGAUUUGGGAUUGUCAGUGGUGAAGCAGAAGGGCACAUCUAGGGAUGCCAAUGUCGGAGAAAGGCGCUGGAAUUUCGGUUCAAUCCCGAGUCCAUAUUCUUGCUUAGAGGUAAAGACUGUGGGCUUCCGGGUCUCGGAGAGUGUCUUCCACGCUGCAACAAUCUUGUCUCUCCCGGACAAAGUCCGCUUGUCGAAAGUCAGGGUCAAGCUGUCUUUCCAGAAACAGCCAUCGCAGAAGAGACUGCCAAAGGCUU
RNAcentral lists this small RNA (954 nucleotides) under Histoplasma capsulatum var. duboisii H88. RNAcentral describes it as "Histoplasma capsulatum H88 hypothetical RNA". Lineage: Eukaryota; Fungi; Ascomycota; Eurotiomycetes; Onygenales; Ajellomycetaceae. The record is from RNAcentral.